ACGGUGAUUAAUACCGGAUACGACCACUUCUCGCAUGGGAUGGUGGUGGAAAGUUUUUCGGCCAGGGAUGUGCUCGCGGCCUAUCAGCUUGAUGGUGAGGUAAUGGCUCACCAUGGCUUCGACGGGUAGCCGGCCUGAGAGGGUGACCGGUCACACUGGGACUGAGACACGGCCCAGACUCCUACGGGAGGCAGCAGUGGGGAAUAUUGGACAAUGGGCGGAAGCCUGAUCCAGCAACGCCGCGUGAGGGAUGACGGCCUUCGGGUUGUAAACCUCUUUCAGCAGGGACGAAGCGCAAGUGACGGUACCUGCAGAAGAAGCACCGGCCAACUACGUGCCAGCAGCCGCGGUAAUACGUAGGGUGCGAGCGUUGUCCGGAAUUAUUGGGCGUAAAGGGCUCGUAGGCGGUUUGUCGCGUCGGGAGUGAAAACCAGGUGCUUAACACCUGGCUUGCUUUCGAUACGGGCAGACUAGAGGUAUUCAGGGGAGAACGGAAUUCCUGGUGUAGCGGUGAAAUGCGCAGAUAUCAGGAGGAACACCGGUGGCGAAGGCGGUUCUCUGGGAAUAUCCUGACGCUGAGGAGCGAAAGUGUGGGGAGCGAACAGCGUAUUAGAUACCCUGGUAGUCCACACCGUAAACGUUGGGCGCUAGGUGUGGGGUCCAUUCCACGGAUUCCGUGCCGCAGCUAACGCAUUAAGCGCCCCGCCUGGGGAGUACGGCCGCAAGGCUAAAACUCAAAGGAAUUGACGGGGGCCCGCACAAGCGGCGGAGCAUGCGGAUUAAUUCGAUGCAACGCGAAGAACCUUACCUGGGUUUGACAUACACCCUGCCGCUCCAGAGAUGGGGCUUCUUUUGGGGGUGUACAGGUGGUGCAUGGCUGUCGUCACCUCGUGUCGCGAGAUGUUGGGUUAAGUCCCGCAACGAGCGCAACCCUCGUUCUAUGUUGCCACCACGUAAUGGUGGGGACUUAUAGGAGACUGCCGGGGUCAACUCCCAAGAAAGACGGGAAGACGUCAAGACAUCCAGCCCCUUUAUGUCCAGGGCCUUCCGCA
RNAcentral lists this ribosomal RNA (1052 nucleotides) under Nocardioides fulvus. RNAcentral's name for it is "bacterial SSU rRNA". It matches the Rfam family "Bacterial small subunit ribosomal RNA", at positions 156 to 1222 of the family's 1533-position model. The record is from RNAcentral. Lineage: Bacteria; Bacillati; Actinomycetota; Actinomycetes; Propionibacteriales; Nocardioidaceae.